RNAcentral lists this ribosomal RNA (301 nucleotides) under uncultured bacterium. RNAcentral describes it as "partial 16S ribosomal RNA". It matches the Rfam family "Bacterial small subunit ribosomal RNA", at positions 509 to 807 of the family's 1533-position model. The record is from RNAcentral.
CAGUAGCCGCGGUAAUACGAAGGGGGCUAGCGUUGUUCGGAAUCACUGGGCGUAAAGCGCACGUAGGCGGACUUUUAAGUCAGGGGUGAAAUCCCAAGGCUCAACCUUGGAACUGCCUUUAAGACUGCCGAGCUAGCAGGUGAGAGAGGUAAGUGGAAUUCCGAGUGUAGAGGUGAAAUUCGUAGAUAUUCGGAAGAACACCAGUGGCGAAGGCGGCUUACUGGCUCAUACUGGACGCUGAGGUGCGAAAGCGUGGGGAGCAAACAGGAUUAGAUACCCCGGUAGUCCCUGUCUCUUAUAC